GAGGGCCACCACACGAUUGCAGUGUAUAUUGGCUAGAACUGUGCAUCCAAUCCACCGAUUCAACAUUCAACAACGAAAACGCGACCAGAGCUGGUGCCACCGUCCGUGCUGUAAAAUCAUGUGCGCGCCCCGGACAAAAAUCAACGUAAGACGAAUCACGUGUUGGUGGAGCAUUUGCGGUUGUCUGUUACCGAUAGUGAACAUUAUUGCGGAUGACUCGUCAUUGAUGCAUGUGAAAGUGAAACUCCCGAAGUUGUUCAAGUACGAUGAUUUCGACGAGUGCAGGAAGAUGAACCCCCAGUUUCAUUAUUGUGUAGUUCGAGCAGUUAUACAUCCUGAUGAAAGCUCGGAUGUGUGGCAUAAUAUCAGUCUGCUUUCGGUAAACCCUCUGAACUUUCCGUACGAUCACCUUGAGCGCGGUGUUUGUCUUCAUGACUGCCUCCGACGGAUCUUCCCGGACAAACCACUUCAAAUAGACCAGAUGGAUAUAUUAGCGAGCAACGAUGAACUGCGACUGGAUUAUUUCAGCCGGUGUGUCAACAUGGAACUAGAGUCAACUUUUAAACUUCAAGCUUCGGUGACCAUUUCGCACUGCCUAUUGGAGAAUGAUUUGAGCCAUGAGUUUGGCUUGGCAGAUCAGAUUUUCAUCGGAUUAGUAAUUCUGCUUAUGCUACUGGUUGGUGUGGCCACUGUGCGGGACUACAAUGGAACUAAGAGCAAGUAUGACCAUCUAGUGCAACCGUUUUCUCUCCCUCGCAACAUUAACAAGCUGCUCGAUACCUCCGAAACGGGCGGCAAUCUUGUCCACUUAGAAGGCAUGCGUGCUCUGGGUAUGCUGGUUAUUAUCCUCGUGCAUUCGUCACUGCCCUUCAUACGCAUGCCUCUGAGUAACCCAGAAGAUAUGGAAUCGCAAACAAAUAACUUUUCGUUCCCGAUCUGGAACUCGGCCAAUACGCACAUGAUCACUUUUUUCUUCGCUCUCGGAGGAAUGGUGCUGGCCGUCAGUUUCCUCAGACAAAUCGAAAAGUCACCAACCGUUGAUAUUCGGUAUCUAGGGAGCAAAUUGUUGAACCGGUUGGCACGGCUCGUACCAGCAUACGCAUUCAUGAUCUUCUAUGAGGCGACGUUAUUCAAAUACACCAAACAAACACCCCACGCCGCCAACUUUGUUGAUUACUGCAGUGAACACUGGUGGUCAAAUUUACUGUUCAUCAAUAACUACGUUCACUUGGAUGAACCAUGCAUGAAAUUUGGCUGGUAUCUAGGGGCUGACUUUCAACUGUUUCUGAUCGGACUGGCCAUCAUGACACUUAUUUGGAGAUUUCCCGGAAGUGAAAGAACAUGCAUUGGCGUAAUGAUUUUCGUUAGUUUUUGGAUACCUGGUUACGUCAUCUACAGUGAAAAGCUAGACGCAACAAUGACAUUUAAUAUGCGACAUGCUUUAACCGAAUUACGCGAAUACGAUGUGUUCUCAAAGUAUUACACUCCGACGCACACUAAUGCCGGAACUUACUUCUUCGGAAUGAUCGCCGGAAUUCUAUAUCACCAUACCUCAAGAAAUAAACUUCACGCCAAAGCCGAACGGUAUCUAUCUAGGGCCCUUUCAGUUAGUCUGGCAAUAUUCUUCAGUUUGAACGGAUUGCUCGCUGUUGUACCGUUUAUGCCACUGCAAAAACCGUCAUUAUUUCUAUCUGUUUUUGGAUCUGCGCUCAAAGCUAUCUUCGGUAUUGUCUUUGGCAUAUUGUUCCUUUAUUUCGGCUUCCGAACUGUUUCAAUGAGUGGGGCAUUCCUUCAGCAUCCUAUACUACGAGUGAUAGGACGAUUGAGUUACUGUGUCUACAUUGUUCAGUACGCGGUCAUCUACAUGAUCUACAGUAACAUGGCAAUGCCGAUCCUGUAUAGUGGUUUUAAUAUGAUAUUCAUUACUUCUGCGGUUCUCUUCAUCUCAUUACUGAUCGGUACGAUGCUGUACCUCGUCGUCGAAGUUCCAUGCGUUUCCGUAUUGAGGCGAUUAAUCGAUGGAAAAUGAAGAUUGUUUUAGAGCGGCAAAUAAAUAUUUGUUUAAUAGGAAUAGGUGCAUAAUUUUUAAAAAACAAAGAUCAGGGUUGUGAUGCUGCUUUAUUUAGGCUGUGAACCAUUUCGCGGUUAAUUUUAACUUUUGGUUAAAAUCUGACACUUGAGUGGUUAUUUUGUGUCGAGUAGUUAAAUUCAACUAAAACUGUGGACCAUUUCGAAAUUUGACGGACGGAAAGUUAUUCGGGUUUAUUUUCCACUGGAAAUAAUUUCAACUAAAGAAUUAAUAUUAGAAUUUUCAUUGCAAGAUUUUUUUCAGUGUCAGAAAAUAACUAUCGAUCUGUCAAAAAUAACCAUGCUCUCGAGCAGGGUUAUUUUUGACAACAUCGAAUUAACCGCUCGAGUGUCAGAUUUUAACCAAAAGUUAAAAUUAACCGCGAAAUGGUUCACAGCCUUAGUAUAGUUUAGAUCACUUAGGUUCUAACAGUGUUGUUUAUCUAGUCCAUUUAAACAUGAUUAAAAGUUUUAUUGAAAAUAAAUGGUUUUAUAUGAAUAAUUGUAAGAGGAAAAAAUAUUUUACCUCUUAAUUUAUGCUAGGUGCAUAUACCCAUUUUGAUUUAACAUAAACUGCUACGCACUGAUGAGUCAAAAACGAAACGUAAAGUAAGAUAAAUGGUUUUAUAUAUUUUCUUUUCAUACGAAUGACAGUUUUAACUUAAGAAUAUGCACACUGAAAUAAAAAUCUUUUUUACAUUCAUUAGAUUCGUCAUAUGAAUCGUAUGCAUCGUAUAACUCAUUGAAGCCAUAUGAAAAUUUAUAUUUUUUAUUAAGAAUGUACAUGAAGUCUAAAUUAGUGUAACAAUAAUGAAUUGAUAAGAAUAUCACAUACAAUUUAUAUGAAAACUCGAUAGAACUUAUCCCAUUUCGUAAUGUAUGUGGUGAGUCCUCGAUAUUCAUCAGCUGCUUCAGGCAGUUCACCUGGGAUUUCUGCAUCAUAAAGCAAUUUAUAAUCGCAGACACGUUAGUUCUUUCAACUCCCAUUAAGGAUAUAUUUAGGAAUCAUGAAAUAAUACGCUUUGGGGUCACACUUCUUUAAGGUUAAUAUCAAAAAGUGCUUCCAGGGAUUCACCAGUAGUAAAGCUCGAAUCCUGAAAGAACAGCGCGAUAACAGAAAAUCAACGUUCGACGUAAGUGUAAAAACGAAAUUAUUAU
Molecule: RNA transcript, 3225 nt
Organism: Malaya genurostris
Lineage: Eukaryota; Metazoa; Arthropoda; Insecta; Diptera; Culicidae
Gene name: O-acyltransferase like protein-like
Exons: 10
Source: RefSeq, a predicted model, not a curated record